RNAcentral lists this ribosomal RNA (427 nucleotides) under uncultured bacterium. RNAcentral's name for it is "bacterial SSU rRNA". It matches the Rfam family "Bacterial small subunit ribosomal RNA", at positions 355 to 775 of the family's 1533-position model. The record is from RNAcentral.
UGGGGAAUCUCGCGCAAUGGGCGAAAGCCUGACGCAGCGACGCCGCGUGAGUGAUGAAGGCCUUCGGGUUGUAAAGCUCUGUGGGGAGAGACGAAUAAGUGUGUCCAAAUACGGCGCAUGAUGACGGUAUCUCCUUAGCAAGCACCGGCUAACUCUGUGCCAGCAGCCGCGGUAAGACAGAGGGUGCAAACGUUGUUCGGAAUUACUGGGCGUAAAGCGAGUGUAGGCGGUCUUGUAAGUCGGAUGUGAAAGCCCCGGGCUCAACCCGGGAAGUGCACUCGAUACUGCGAGGCUAGAGUGUCGGAGAGGUUGGUGGAAUUCUCGGUGUAGAGGUGAAAUUCGUAGAUAUCGAGAGGAACACCGGUGGCGAAGGCGGCCAACUGGACGAACACUGACGCUGAGACUCGAAAGCGUGGGGAGCAAACAG